CUUGGAUCAUACGAGUGGCUUUCCUCUGGACUCUCUCAAGCUUCUCCACAUCCUCCAUGAAGUGGGGGUCCCCAAUACUGGAUGCAGUACUCCAGCUGUGGUCUUAACCAUGGCAGGGUCAAAAAUCAAUAAAGUUCACAAAGUAAUAUUUUAGAGCCCUAAUUAGUUUAAUUAAAGAGACAUGAGUGGGCUGUGCCUCACUGCUGUUGGCUAAAAAAUAAAAAUCCUUUUCAACUUUCCUUGGCUCAUUUUCAGUCCCAUCUCUGCUGACAGGCAUUUAUGAAGAAGUGUUAGACAUCAAUUUGUCCAGCUUCUAGUAUAUCACAGCAUCAGAUGUGCCUUCUGGAAAGAGCGGCUAUGUACAAAGACCAGGAGGUACAAUAAAAAGGAGGAACAAAGAACGUUAGCACCGAUGCCUUUUAAACCCUGUGAUAAAACUGCAACACAGCAUGAAGUCACUUGGAACCGAGUCACUUCUGCCGUGUAUAGGAAAUAGCUACCUCUCUUCCCGGACAUGUUCGCCUCUGGUCUCUCCCAGGCUCAGAACAGCUGGACAUGUCCACCUGGGGAGGUGGGGAUGCUUUUUUCUGUUUACAUCUCAGGUUGCUGGCUCACUACUAUUGGUGGCCGUUUAGGAAAAGGGAGGGGGGAGCAAGAAAUGAGAGGCUGGGGAUGCUGCCCCCUAUCACAUGAUGGAAAUUUCCACUCUUUAGAAAGCAGAAGGAAAAAAAGAAAAGAAAAAGAAAAGAAAAGCGAGCUGGGGUCACAAGGCACACUUUGUAACACUCCUCGAAAGGACCUUGCCAAUGCACACGUGCUUCAUCCCCCCAAAAGAAUUUGCCAAAGCCGAGCUGAAAACACUGUUGGCAGUUCCACAAAGUACCAUCAAUGA
This 892-nucleotide long non-coding RNA is filed under the name Crocodylus porosus (Australian saltwater crocodile). RNAcentral describes it as "lncRNA (ENSCPRG00005008104.1)". The record is from RNAcentral. Lineage: Eukaryota; Metazoa; Chordata; Crocodylia; Crocodylidae.